CCUCUCGGGGGUAAGCGGGCAGAACUUGCAAGUAUUGGCAAGAGAUUCAGACUUGAAUUUUGAUGGUUGAGUACUUUUGUUAAGUUGUUCAUUUGUGAACUGGCUAAUGUUGGUACUUUAAUCCAUUAAAUAUGUGUCGCAUUUCUCUUUGUCAUUCGGGUUGCAUGCAACUGAUUUUGGUAGUUUAGGUACUGAGAGUCUGUAAGUUGCUCAUUUAUGAAUGAUUUAAGUCUUGGUUUUCCAACUACUAAUGCGGUUGUAAAAAUAGCGAACAAGCGUAGACGCGGUCAAUUACUUUUACGAGUCGUGUGCGUAGAGUUUAUGGACGAGUAAUCGUAGUAUACUUUAUGUACUGGUUGUCAGUGAGAGUAACUUUGGCUUUGUUCAGUAUUGCAAUCUAAAGCAUGCGUGGUCUGCCUGU
RNAcentral lists this ribosomal RNA (421 nucleotides) under Anuridella calcarata. RNAcentral's name for it is "partial 28S ribosomal RNA". Lineage: Eukaryota; Metazoa; Arthropoda; Collembola; Poduromorpha; Neanuridae. The record is from RNAcentral.